Molecule: ribosomal RNA, 468 nt
Filed under: uncultured bacterium
Lineage: Bacteria
Description: partial 16S ribosomal RNA
Rfam family: Bacterial small subunit ribosomal RNA
Source: RNAcentral
GACGAACGCUGGCGGCGUGCUUAACACAUGCAAGUCGAACGGAAAGGCCCUGCUUUUGUGGGGUGCUCGAGUGGCGAACGGGUGAGUAACACGUGAGUAACCUGCCCUUGACUUUGGGAUAACUUCAGGAAACUGGGGCUAAUACCGGAUAGGAGCUCCUGCUGCAGGGUGGGGGUUGGAAAGUCUCGGCGGUUGGGGCUGGACUCGCGGCUUAUCAGCUUGCUGGUGGGGUAGUGGCUUACCAAGGCUUUGACGGGUAGCCGGCCUGAGAGGGUGACCGGCGUCAUUGGGACUGCGAUACGGCCCAGACUCCUACGGGAGGCAGCAGUGGGGAAUAUUGCACAAUGGGCGGAAGCCUGAUGCAGCAACGCCGCGUGCGGGAUGACGGCCUUCGGGUUGUGAACCGCUUUCGCCUGUGACGAAGCGUGAGUGACGGUAAUGGGUAAAGAAGCACCGGCUAACUACGUG